RNAcentral lists this ribosomal RNA (305 nucleotides) under uncultured bacterium. RNAcentral describes it as "bacterial SSU rRNA". It matches the Rfam family "Bacterial small subunit ribosomal RNA", at positions 335 to 654 of the family's 1533-position model. The record is from RNAcentral.
UUACCUACGGGACGCAGCAGUGGGGAAUAUUGGGCAAUGGGCGCAAGCCUGACCCAGCAACGCCGCGCGAAGGAAGAAGGCUUUCGGGUUGUAAACUUCUUUUAUCAGGGACGAAGCAAGUGACGGUACCUGAUGAAUAAGCCACGGCUAACUACGUGCCAGCAGCCGCGGUAAUACGUAGGGGGCGAGCGUUGUCCGGAAUCACUGGGCGUAAAGGGCGCGUAGGCGGUUUAAUAAGUCAGUGGUGAAAACUGAGGGCUCAACCCUCAGCCUGCCACUGAUACUGUUAGACUUGAGUAUGGAAG